UGUUUUGAUCCUAGACAUUAUAUUGCUUGUAAUUAUAAUAAUACAUGCCAGCCUCCACACACCUGUGAGUACCGCCCCACUUGGAGCCGGUAUCAGGCACACCACCACUGUGGCAGCCCAAGACACCUAGCCUCGCCACACCCCCACUGGGCCUCAGCAGUAGUAAACACUAAGCAAUAAGCCUGGACACUUGACUUGGUAAUAAUUAUACACCCGGCCGGUAAACCUCGUGCCAGCCACCGCGGUUAUACGAGGGGCCAAAAACAAUAUAUUCCGGCGUAAAAUGUGACUAAAGAGUAAUUUCAAACCGAGGGAAGAACCAAGUAUAAAGUUGUAAAAUACGCAGUGCACCAGGUAAACUUCAUCGCCCUCACUACAUAAACCUCCUUGACCUCACGAAAACUGAGACCCAAACUAGGAUUAGAUACCCUACUAUGCCCAGCCGUAAACUAUGGUGUAACUACACCCGCCAGAGAAUUACAACGCCUAGCUUGAAACUCAAAAGACUUGACAGUAUCUCACACACCCCUAGAGGAGCCUGUCCUAUAAUCGAUAACCCACGCUAAACCUUACCUGCCCUUGAACAAAUCAGCCUAUAUACCUCCGUCGCCAGUCCGCCUGUCAACAGUUAAUAAAGCGCGUACAAUAGCCCAUCGCUCACACGACAGGUCAAGGUGUAGCUAAUGGGCAUAGGCAGAGAUGGGCUACAUUUUCUCCACUAGAAAACACCUAAAAUGCAAUGAAAUGUGACUUGUAAGGUGGAUUUAGCAGUAAGCGAGGUCAGACAAGCCCCCCUGAAGCCUUCCAUGAGAU
RNAcentral lists this non-coding RNA (813 nucleotides) under Uroplatus sp. F CMI-2008. RNAcentral describes it as "partial 12S ribosomal RNA". It matches the Rfam family "Bacterial small subunit ribosomal RNA", at positions 9 to 1380 of the family's 1533-position model. Lineage: Eukaryota; Metazoa; Chordata; Lepidosauria; Squamata; Gekkonidae. The record is from RNAcentral.